This 810-nucleotide ribosomal RNA is filed under the name bacterium W15S84d. RNAcentral describes it as "bacterial SSU rRNA". It matches the Rfam family "Bacterial small subunit ribosomal RNA", at positions 81 to 877 of the family's 1533-position model. The record is from RNAcentral.
CUCCUUUGACGUUAGCGGCGGACGGGUGAGUAACACGUGGAUAACCUACCUAUAAGACUGGGAUAACUUCGGGAAACCGGAGCUAAUACCGGAUAACAUAUUGAACCGCAUGGUUCAAUAGUGAAAGGCGGCUUUGCUGUCACUUAUAGAUGGAUCCGCGCCGUAUUAGCUAGUUGGUAAGGUAACGGCUUACCAAGGCAACGAUACGUAGCCGACCUGAGAGGGUGAUCGGCCACACUGGAACUGAGACACGGUCCAGACUCCUACGGGAGGCAGCAGUAGGGAAUCUUCCGCAAUGGGCGAAAGCCUGACGGAGCAACGCCGCGUGAGUGAUGAAGGUCUUCGGAUCGUAAAACUCUGUUAUCAGGGAAGAACAAAUGUGUAAGUAACUGUGCACAUCUUGACGGUACCUGAUCAGAAAGCCACGGCUAACUACGUGCCAGCAGCCGCGGUAAUACGUAGGUGGCAAGCGUUAUCCGGAAUUAUUGGGCGUAAAGCGCGCGUAGGCGGUUUUUUAAGUCUGAUGUGAAAGCCCACGGCUCAACCGUGGAGGGUCAUUGGAAACUGGAAAACUUGAGUGCAGAAGAGGAAAGUGGAAUUCCAUGUGUAGCGGUGAAAUGCGCAGAGAUAUGGAGGAACACCAGUGGCGAAGGCGACUUUCUGGUCUGUAACUGACGCUGAUGUGCGAAAGCGUGGGGAUCAAACAGGAUUAGAUACCCUGGUAGUCCACGCCGUAAACGAUGAGUGCUAAGUGUUAGGGGGUUUCCGCCCCUUAGUGCUGCAGCUAACGCAUUAAGCACUCCGCCUGGG